Molecule: small nuclear RNA, 102 nt
Organism: Suncus etruscus (white-toothed pygmy shrew)
Lineage: Eukaryota; Metazoa; Chordata; Mammalia; Eulipotyphla; Soricidae
Source: RefSeq, a predicted model, not a curated record
GUUCACUUCGGCAGCACAUAUACUACAAUUGGAACAAUACAGUGAUUAGCAUGGCCCCUGAGCAAGGAUUACAUGCAAAUGGGUGAAGCAUUUCAUAUAUAU